RNAcentral lists this unclassified non-coding RNA (180 nucleotides) under uncultured Chaetothyriales. Its description in RNAcentral is "sequence contains ITS1". Lineage: Eukaryota; Fungi; Ascomycota; Eurotiomycetes; Chaetothyriales. The record is from RNAcentral.
CCGAGUUAGGGUCUCAAAUGGCCCGACCUCCAACCCUUUGUUUAUUAUACCAUGUUGCUUUGGCGGGCCUGCCUUUCGGGGCUGCCGGGGGCACUACUGCCCCUGACCCGCGCCUGCCAGGAGCCUUCCUUAAAUUCUGUGUGAAACAGUGUUGUCUGAGUCUCAAUAUCAAAUAAUAAA